CAAUAGCGUAUAUUAAAGUUGUUGCAGUUAGAACGCUCGUAGUCGGAUUUCGGGGCGGGCCGACCGGUCUGCCGAUGGGUAUGCACUGGUCGGCGCGUCCUUCCUUCCGGAGACCGUCCCUACUCUUAACUGAGCGGGGGCGGGAGACGGGACUUUUACUUUGAAAAAAUCAGAGUGUUUCAAGCAGGCAGCUCGCUCUUGCAUGGAUUAGCAUGGGAUAAUGAAAUAGGACUUUGGUGCUAUUUUGUUGGUUUCGAACACCGAAGUAAUGAUGAGAAGGGACAGUCAGGGGCACUCGUAUUCCGCCGAGAGAGGUGAAAUUCUCAGACCAGCGGAAGACGAACCACUGCGAAAGCAUUUGCCAGGGAUGCUUUCACUGA
Molecule: ribosomal RNA, 380 nt
Filed under: uncultured eukaryote
Lineage: Eukaryota
Description: partial 18S ribosomal RNA
Rfam family: Eukaryotic small subunit ribosomal RNA
Source: RNAcentral